GUAGACAGCAAAUUAAACACUGA
This 23-nucleotide non-coding RNA is filed under the name Cricetulus griseus (Chinese hamster). Lineage: Eukaryota; Metazoa; Chordata; Mammalia; Rodentia; Cricetidae. The record is from RNAcentral.